AGGAUGAACGCUGGCGGCGUGCCUAAUACAUGCAAGUCGAGCGGUAAGGCCACUUCGGUGGUACACGAGCGGCGGACGGCUGAGUAACGCGUAGGAACGUACCCCAAACUGAGGCAUAAGCACCAGAAAUGGUGUCUAAUACCGCAUGUGCUCUUCGGAGUAAAGCUUCGGCGGUUUGGGAACGGCCUGCGUCCGAUUAGCUUGUUGGUGAGGUAAUGGCUCACCAAGGCGACGAUCGGUAGCUGGUCUGAGAGGAUGAUCAGCCAGACUGGGACUGAGAACGGCCCAGACUCCUACGGGAGGCAGCAGUAGGGAAUUUUCCACAAUGGGAC
Molecule: ribosomal RNA, 332 nt
Filed under: uncultured bacterium
Lineage: Bacteria
Description: SSU rRNA
Rfam family: Bacterial small subunit ribosomal RNA
Source: RNAcentral